Long non-coding RNA from Macrobrachium nipponense, 937 nucleotides. RefSeq lists it as uncharacterized. NCBI's taxonomy places the organism in Eukaryota, Metazoa, Arthropoda, Malacostraca, Decapoda, Palaemonidae. The transcript has 3 exons. The record is from RefSeq and is a predicted model, not a curated record.
CGGUCAUGGUCCACGAAGCAAGACGCUACUAAGACUUUAGAGUCCUUGGCAAACGAUAACGUCUGUCCGCUUCUGAGAGUCUUCUUCUGACGUUUCAUUUGAACCUUCGACUGUAACAUCGUUGUGGGCGGUAGAUAGGAGUUUUCUAAGUGAUCGUUUCAUUUUCAAGAGUGCCGUAUUCAAUUUCUCCUUGAUUUAUCGUAGCGAAAUUGGUUAUGUUGUGAAGUAAAAAAAAAAAAAUUAUCACGCGGCUAGACUACAGUUAGCGCUUGAGUUUUCCUUCGACUGUUGUCACUUCGUUGGUCAAGUCAUAAUAAAUCCCGGGCUUCUGCAAGGAUGGUUUUGGUAAGAGUUUGACUUGAGUUCCUGUUCUCACGGUAAAGCUAAAAGCAUGAUAAUGCUACUCUUUAGCAACAGGUUACAGCUUACUGGAGGAACCAGAAUUCAAGAAAGCUCGCAGAAUGGGGCGGAUUCGCAAACCUUUCAGUGUGUGAUAUUUCUAGGGAUCAAGAUGUCGACAAGAUAGAGUAGGCAUCUAUUCAUUUGGAUUUAAAUUUUCUAUGCUGAGCUUCUCAUGAAAAUGCUUAUAGGUUUGAAAGUAACGUUCCUAUGAUAUUCUGCAGUCGUUAACCUACCAUUAGCCUGUGUGUAAUUAAAAGAAAUGUUACCUUUAGUUUUCAGUUCUUGACCACUUCAUCGGUAUCUUUAUAAGGGGAAAACAAAGUAUGUAAAAUCUGAUUUAUCAUCCAUAUAAUUAUAAAUGUUGAAGCUAAAAACUACUUCACAUAGAAAUAUACCAAACGGUUUGAGACUAGAACAACCAUCAAUUGUGCAAACCUAGAGCGACCGAGCGGUCAAAAUGACUACACAUGUAUUGGCAUUGUAAUAGCCUAUAUUUUAGCUUAUUAAAGCAUCCUGAUACAUUGGUGUGUAGUUA